UCUGGGAAUUUAAUGCAUUAAAUUGGAGUUUAUACAUUUUACGUUUUUGUCCUCAUCAUCUGUUACCCUUCUCAUCAUGUGUUCAAUUUUAGCAGAAACUUUUAUAAGUUAUUUUUGUCUACAGAGAUAAGAUAAGGAUUUGACCAUAUCACAUUACAGAUAGGGAAGGGAUAUGUGGUCAUUUUAUAAAGCUUGUUGCAGUUACAGCAGCCAUUUUUGUAUCUCCGAGAUUUAAAUUG
Molecule: long non-coding RNA, 239 nt
Filed under: Mytilus galloprovincialis (Mediterranean mussel)
Lineage: Eukaryota; Metazoa; Mollusca; Bivalvia; Mytilida; Mytilidae
Source: RNAcentral